Molecule: ribosomal RNA, 305 nt
Filed under: uncultured bacterium
Lineage: Bacteria
Description: bacterial SSU rRNA
Rfam family: Bacterial small subunit ribosomal RNA
Source: RNAcentral
CCUACGGGACGCAGCAGUAGGGAAUUUUCGUCAAUGGGCGCAAGCCUGAACGAGCAAUGCCGCGUGAACGAGGAAGGUCUUCGUAUCGUAAAGUUCUGUUGACGGGGAAAAAGAGCGGAGAGAGGAAACGAACUCCGAUUGAUAUUACCCUUCGAGGAAGUCACGGCUAACUACGUGCCAGCAGCCGCGGUAAUACGUAGGUGGCGAGCGUUAUCCGGAAUGAUUGGGCGUAAAGGGUGCGUAGGCGGCCUGCUACGUCUGGCGUGAAAGGUACCGGCACAACCGGUACAGGCUCUGGAAACUGG